CAAGACUUGUUGAUCGUUCAAAGC
This 24-nucleotide non-coding RNA is filed under the name Arabidopsis thaliana (thale cress). Lineage: Eukaryota; Viridiplantae; Streptophyta; Magnoliopsida; Brassicales; Brassicaceae. The record is from RNAcentral.